RNAcentral lists this ribosomal RNA (440 nucleotides) under uncultured bacterium. RNAcentral describes it as "partial 16S ribosomal RNA". It matches the Rfam family "Bacterial small subunit ribosomal RNA", at positions 338 to 795 of the family's 1533-position model. The record is from RNAcentral.
CCUACGGGUGGCUGCAGUGGGGGAUAUUGCACAAUGGGGGGAACCCUGAUGCAGCGACGCCGCGUGUGGGAAGACGGUCCUCUGGAUUGUAAACCACUGUCCCCAGGGACGAAAAUGACGGUACCUGGGGAGGAAGCUCCGGCUAACUACGUGCCAGCAGCCGCGGUAAUAGGUAGGGAGCGAGCGUUGUCGGGAAUUACUGGGUGAAAAGGGAGCGUAGGCGGGGAUGCAAGUUGGGUGUCAAACCUACCGGCUCAACUGGGAGUCGCACUCAAAACUGCAGCUCUUGAGUGAAGUAGAGGCAAGCGGAAUUCCUAGUGUAGCGGUGAAAUGCGUAGAUAUUAGGAGGAACACCAGUGGCGAAGGCGGCCUGCUGGGCUUUUACUGACGCUGAGGCUCGAAAGUGUGGGGAGCAAACAGGAUUAGAUACCCCAGUAGUC